This 284-nucleotide non-coding RNA is filed under the name Pan troglodytes (chimpanzee). The record is from RNAcentral. Lineage: Eukaryota; Metazoa; Chordata; Mammalia; Primates; Hominidae.
GGCUUUAACAUCCACAAUGAACACAAGUGUGUAGUUUUCUUCUGUCUUCUUCACGGCCGACUCAGUGGUCAGCGGAAACUUGAUGAUAGCAUAGUGGUCAAGCUUGUUUCUCCUGGGGGUGUUCUUCCGAGGAUAUCUGGGCUGCCUCUGGAGUCGCAGUGUCUUGGGCCGCCUGAAGAUAUUAUUUCCCCCUGAUGCUUUCCUGAAAGCUCCUGCAAUCAGCUACAGGUCAGAAUAUUCGUCUCCAAGGCAGGACUCCCUCUGAGACUCACAGAAAAGACUAU